GAAGGACUCAGUUUGGCCGGUAAAAGUGGACUUGAACAGAAAACGCUUCUGGAUGUAUUGGAUCUCGGUGCCAUUGCUAACCCAAUGUUCAAGCUGAAAGGCCCCGCGAUGAUCCAAAAUAAUUACCCUCCUGCUUUUCCUCUCAAACAUCAACAGAAGGAUAUGAGAUUGGCUCUUGCUCUUGGCGAUGAAAAUGCUGUCGCAAUGCCAGUUGCUGCUGCGGCUAACGAGGCAUUCAAGAAGGCCAGGAGUAUGGGACUGGGGGACCUUGAUUUCUCGGCUGUAUACGAGGUACUGAAGCCUGGAGAGACAUCCAAAGGUUUGUCAUAGUUAUCGUGCAUUGUUCAUUGUUAUGAUCUUGUCAAAUUUAUCAGUGUGGGCUCGUGGUUUAUCGAAAGUUGGAUGUGUAUUACCAUUGUUAAAGCCAAAGAAACUGGUUGACAC
Molecule: unclassified non-coding RNA, 444 nt
Filed under: Hevea brasiliensis (rubber tree)
Lineage: Eukaryota; Viridiplantae; Streptophyta; Magnoliopsida; Malpighiales; Euphorbiaceae
Source: RNAcentral